UUUAGAAUAAAUUAUUGGCCAACCGAAAUUUGCAGUUUGAUUAGCUUCCUAUUCAGAUUGGCCAACCGAAAGUUGGAGAAUAGCUUACUUCGAUCCGGUGUGGAUUUUAGCUUCAUUCACAAGUUACUUCUGUGUGAAGUAGACUGCGACAUCACAAUGCAUCUUUUACAUUCAUUACUGUAAGCUUAGGUAUGUUUGGUUCCACAUAAAAUUGUGGAAAAGAAAUUUUUGGUGGAAAAAAAAUUUACGUCGUUUAGUGUUUGAUUUGUAGUAAAAAAAAAUAGUUUUCCAUGCCUGUUGUUUGGUUGAAAGAAAAAAAAUUAAUGAAAAGUUAUUUAAUAUAUAAUAAAAUAUAUUAUUAAUAUAUAAUAUUAUUAUACUAUAUAUAUUAUAAUUAUAAUUUUUAUUUAUAGAUUAAAUAUAUUUAAAAUUACAAUAAACAUAUUAUAUAGUAUAUAAGAGUUAUAUAUUUAGAUAUUAAUAAAUAUAUUAUAUAUUUUCGAUUAUUUGUUGAAAGAACAAAAAAAAAACAAAUAGAAAAUGAUUAUAUAUUUUUUUAUUAUUAUAUAUAUUAAAUAUAUAUUAUUAAUAUACAAUAAUUAUUAUACUAUAUGUAUUAUUAUUAUAAUAGACUUUUUAUAAAUAAAUAGAUAUAAAAUAUAUUAUACAAAUAUAUUAUACAAUUAAGUAUAUAAUAUAAUACAUAUUAGUAGCAAAAUCACAUUGUUGCUACCACUCAACCCUAGGGGGACCACUUAACUCUAACCGACUAAUAUCAUCCUGACCUACAAUUUUUCAUCCAAGAGUUAAAAAUUUGAUAGCAAGAAGAGCGUUUUACUAUUAAUAGUAUUCCAGCCUAAUUCUAUAUAUAUAUAUAUAUAGUCCGGCUACUAUGCUAUUAAUAGCACGAAGCACUUUGUGCUACCAAGUUUUUCGCCGUUAGAUCUACACUUUUGAUUAUUUUGACCCGUUAGAUCAUACUAUUCAACUAACCACCCACUCAACCCUAGGGUGCCUACACCAUCCUAACCGCACAUCUCUUAAUUCAAUGGCCAAAAACUUAGUAGCACCAAUGACUUGGUGCUAUUAAUAGCAUAGUCGCCUACUUCAUAUAUAUAUAUAUAUAUAUAGAGAGAGAGAGAGAGAGAGAGAGAGAGAGAGAGAGAGAGAGAGAGAGAGAGAGNGUUAGAUCUACACUUUUGAUCAUUUUGACCCGUUAGAUCAUACUAUUCAACCAACCAUCCACUCAACCCUAAAGUGCCUACACCAUCCUAACCGCACAUCUCUUAAUUCAAUGGCCAAAAACUUGGUAGCACCAAUGACUUGGUGCUAUUAAUAGCAUAGUAGCCUACUUCAUAUAUAUAUAUAUAUAGAGAGAGAGAGAGAGAGAGAGAGAGAGUUGGUCUGGGCUACUAUUAGUAGGAAAAUCACAUUGUUGCUAUCAGUUUUUUAGCCUUUGGAUCAACUCUUUUCAUUAUUUCUAACCAUUGGAUUAAAUACUAACCCAGUGAGGACCACUCAACCUUAGGGGGACCACUCAACUCUAACCGACUAAUAUCAUCCUGACCCUACAAUUUUUCAUCCAAGAGUUAAAAAUUUGAUAGCAAAAAGAGCAUUUUACUAUUAAUAGCAUUCCAGCCUAAUUCUAUAUAUAUAUAUAUAUAUAUAGUCCGGCUACUAUGCUAUUAAUAGCACGAAACACUUUGUGCUACCAAGUUCUCCGCCGUUAGAUCUACACUUUUGAUCAUUUUGACCCGUUAGAUCAUACUAUUCAACCAACCAUCCACUCAACCCUAAAGUGCCUACACCAUCCUAACCGCACAUCUCUUAAUUCAAUGGCCAAAAACUUGGUAGCACCAAUGACUUGGUGCUAUUAAUAGCAUAGUAGCCUACUUCAUAUAUAUAUAUAUAGAGAGAGAGAGAGAGAGAGAGAGAGAGAGAGAGAGAAAGAGAGUGAGUUGAGCUAGAAUACUAUCGAUAGCAUAGCGGCACUUUUGCCAUCAAUUUGUUUUCGAUGAUAGAGCCUCCAAAUUGGUGAUCGGUACAGUUGAAUAUGAGCUAUAUCAUUUGAAGUAUUUUUAAAUUUUAAAUAAAGAUAUAUCUAUUUUGGCAUGCUGAGUGCAUGAUAUUGGAAUAUUUAUUAUUAGCAUGAUUAAGUUUGA
RNAcentral lists this long non-coding RNA (2162 nucleotides) under Ananas comosus (pineapple). RNAcentral's name for it is "long non-coding RNA (ACOM_LNC013110)". Lineage: Eukaryota; Viridiplantae; Streptophyta; Magnoliopsida; Poales; Bromeliaceae. The record is from RNAcentral.